AAAGUGAUUGGUUAUACAUUUCAUGUAUCAACUGCAUAAACCCAUUCCGAGUAUCUUGCCUGUUGCUUCCAUGGGGCCUGACCUCGGUCACUCUUGUGAUGUGAAAUCCAAGAGAGUCCCCAUGGGAGGUAAUCAUUAAAUUCAUGUAUCCAAUGUCUUCUGUCUGAACUGUUUAUGACAAAUGUUA
This 187-nucleotide unclassified non-coding RNA is filed under the name uncultured Wilcoxina. RNAcentral's name for it is "sequence contains ITS1". The record is from RNAcentral. Lineage: Eukaryota; Fungi; Ascomycota; Pezizomycetes; Pezizales; Pyronemataceae.